RNAcentral lists this transfer RNA (57 nucleotides) under Bos taurus (domestic cattle). It matches the Rfam family "tRNA", at positions 8 to 63 of the family's 71-position model. From Rfam's summary of the family: Transfer RNA (tRNA) molecules are approximately 80 nucleotides in length. Lineage: Eukaryota; Metazoa; Chordata; Mammalia; Artiodactyla; Bovidae. RNAcentral also lists the same sequence under 2 other names. The record is from Rfam by way of RNAcentral.
UAGCUCAGACGGUAAAGCAUCUGCCUACAAUGCAGAAGACCUGGGUUCAAUCCCUAG